UCGAGCGGAUGAAGGGAGCUUGCUCCUGGAUUCAGCGGCGGACGGGUGAGUAAUGCCUAGGAAUCUGCCUGGUAGUGGGGGAUAACGUCCGGAAACGGGCGCUAAUACCGCAUACGUCCUGAGGGAGAAAGUGGGGGAUCUUCGGACCUCACGCUAUCAGAUGAGCCUAGGUCGGAUUAGCUAGUUGGUGGGGUAAAGGCCUACCAAGGCGACGAUCUAUAACUGGUCUGAGAGGAUGAUCAGUCACACUGGAACUGAGACACGGUCCAGACUCCUACGGGAGGCAGCAGUGGGGAAUAUUGGACAAUGGGCGAAAGCCUGAUCCAGCCAUGCCGCGUGUGUGAAGAAGGUCUUCGGAUUGUAAAGCACUUUAAGUUGGGAGGAAGGGCAGUAAGUUAAUACCUUGCUGUUUUGACGUUACCAACAGAAUAAGCACCGGCUAACUUCGUGCCAGCAGCCGCGGUAAUACGAAGGGUGCAAGCGUUAAUCGGAAUUACUGGGCGUAAAGCGCGCGUAGGUGGUUCAGCAAGUUGGAUGUGAAAUCCCCGGGCUCAACCUGGGAACUGCAUCCAAAACUACUGAGCUAGAGUACGGUAGAGGGUGGUGGAAUUUCCUGUGUAGCGGUGAAAUGCGUA
RNAcentral lists this ribosomal RNA (635 nucleotides) under Pseudomonas aeruginosa. RNAcentral's name for it is "bacterial SSU rRNA". It matches the Rfam family "Bacterial small subunit ribosomal RNA", at positions 62 to 692 of the family's 1533-position model. Lineage: Bacteria; Pseudomonadati; Pseudomonadota; Gammaproteobacteria; Pseudomonadales; Pseudomonadaceae. The record is from RNAcentral.